RNAcentral lists this ribosomal RNA (532 nucleotides) under uncultured bacterium. RNAcentral describes it as "bacterial SSU rRNA". It matches the Rfam family "Bacterial small subunit ribosomal RNA", at positions 337 to 880 of the family's 1533-position model. The record is from RNAcentral.
CCCUACGGGAGGCAGCAGUAGGGAAUAUUGGGCAAUGGGCGCAAGCCUGACCCAGCGACGCCGCGUGAGGGAUGAAGGUCUUCGGAUUGUAAACCUCUUUCAGUAGGGAAGAAGCGAAAGUGACGGUACCUAAAGAAGAAGCACCGGCUAACUAUGUGCCAGCAGCCGCGGUAAUACAUAGGGUGCAAGCGUUGUCCGGAAUUAUUGGGCGUAAAGAGCUCGUAGGUCGUUUGUCGCGUCGAUUGUGAAAAUCUGAGGCUCAACCUCAGACCUGCAGUCGAUACGGGCAAACUAGAGUGUGGUAGGGGAGACCGGAAUUCCUGGUGUAGCGGUGGAAUGCGCAGAUAUCAGGAGGAACACCAAUGGCGAAGGCAGGUCUCUGGGCCAUAACUGACACUGAGGAGCGAAAGUGCGGGGAGCGAACAGGAUUAGAUACCCUGGUAGUCCGCACCGUAAACGGUGGGCACUAGUUGUGGGAACCUUCCACGGUUUCCGCGACGCAGCAAACGCAUUAAGUGCCCCGCCUGGGGAA